ACACACACACACACACACAGAGCACUGGUGGAAACAGGGGAGCUGCAGCGCGCGGCUCGGGGACCCGCCGGAAGCAGCAGCAGCAGCAGCGGGAGCUGUGGACGCAGCCCCGGUAUCACACCGAGAGCACGAGCGACACUGAGGCGGCCAGAGGGGCGGAGAGGAGGAGGAGGAGGAGGAGGCACCUGCACCGAGACUCGCUCUCCGCCGCUGCCUCCAUCGUCAGCUCCCGUCACCCCUCGUUCGUUCCUCUCGGGCCGCCGCCGCUUCCUCGUUAAAGAUGGCUGACCCCAACAGCGACGGAGAGGCACCGGAGAGCGCGCGCGGCUUCGCCCGCCAGGGAGCCCUCCGACAGAAGAACGUGCACGAGGUGAAGAACCACAAGUUCAUCGCGCGCUUCUUCAAGCAGCCCACGUUCUGCAGCCACUGCACGGACUUCAUCUGGGGCUUUGGGAAACAGGGAUUCCAGUGCCAAGUGUGCUGUUUUGUAGUCCAUAAGCGCUGUCAUGAGUUUGUCACCUUUUCUUGUCCGGGGGCCGACAAGGGACCAGCGUCGGACGAUCCUCGGAGUAAACACAAGUUUAAGGUCCACACUUACUCCAGCCCCACCUUCUGCGACCACUGUGGCUCCCUCCUGUAUGGGCUGAUACACCAGGGCAUGAAAUGUGACCACUGUAUGAUGAACAUCCACAAGCGGUGUGUGACCAACGUUCCGAGCUUGUGCGGGACAGAUCACACCGAGAGGAGAGGACGCAUCCACAUCUCUGCCCAGAUCACUGAGGACAAACUUACCGUCAGCAUCAAAGAAGCUAGGAACCUGGUGCCCAUGGACCCUAACGGCCUGUCAGACCCUUACGUCAAACUCAAACUGAUCCCAGACCCCAAGAGCGAGAGCAAGCAGAAGACCAAGACCAUCAAAUGUUGCCUCAACCCAACCUGGAACGAGACCUUCACUUUCAACCUAAAAGAAAGUGACAAGGACCGCCGUCUGUCGGUGGAGAUCUGGGACUGGGAUUUGACCAGUAGGAAUGACUUCAUGGGAUCCCUGUCCUUUGGGAUAUCAGAACUACAAAAACAAGGGAUCGAUGGAUGGUUUAAGCUGCUGUCCCAGGAGGAAGGAGAAUACUUUAAUGUUCCUGUUCAGCCGGAUGGAGAGGACGGCAACGAGGAGCUUCGACAAAAGUUUGAGAGAGCAAGGGUGGGUCCAGGGAAGCCCACAGACUCGUCCUCCUCCUCCUCGAUGUACAAGUACGACAGCAAUGGCAAUCAGGACCGUGUCAAGCUCUCAGACUUCAAUUUCAUCAUGGUUCUGGGAAAAGGCAGCUUCGGCAAGGUGAUGCUGGCUGAAAGGAAGGGUACGGACGAGUUGUACGCCAUCAAGAUCCUGAAGAAGGAUGUGGUGAUCCAGGAUGACGAUGUGGAGUGCACCAUGGUGGAGAAGAGAGUCCUCGCUCUGGCGGGGAAACCACCUUUCCUCACUCAGCUGCACUCUUGUUUCCAGACCAUGGACCGACUGUAUUUUGUGAUGGAGUAUAUAAAUGGAGGAGACCUCAUGUACCAGAUCCAACAGGUCGGCAAGUUCAAGGAGCCUCAUGCUGUGUUUUAUGCUGCAGAAAUCGCCAUCGGACUCUUCUUCCUUCACUCCAAAGGCAUCGUGUAUCGGGAUCUGAAGCUGGACAACGUGAUGCUGGACUCAGAGGGACAUAUCAAGAUCGCCGACUUUGGCAUGUGCAAAGAGAACAUGUUGGACGGAGUGACCACGAAGACUUUCUGUGGAACACCAGACUACAUUGCUCCAGAGAUCAUAGCCUAUCAGCCUUAUGGGAAGUCUGUGGACUGGUGGGCCUUCGGAGUGCUGCUGUAUGAAAUGCUCGCUGGACAGCCGCCUUUUGACGGGGAGGAUGAGGAUGAGUUGUUUCAAUCGAUCAUGGAGCAUCACGUCUCAUACCCCAAAUCCAUGUCCAAAGAAGCUGUUGCCAUCUGCAAGGGGUUUCUGUGUGUGAUUCUAGCUGAUGACCAAACACCCAGGUAAGCGUCUGGGCUGCGGUCCAGAGGGCGAGAGAGACAUCAAGGAGCACGCCUUCUUCCGUUAUAUAGACUGGGAAAAACUGGAGAAUAAAGAGGUCCAGCCGCCUUUCAAACCUAAAGCUUGUGGGCGUGACGCAGAGAACUUUGAUCGCUUUUUCACGCGCCACCCCCCAGAGCUGACCCCCCCAGAUCAGGAGCUUAUAGCCAACCUGGACCAGGAAGAAUUCCAAGGCUUCUCAUUUGUUAACCCUGAGUACCCUCACUCAACCCAGUGACCAUGCCACAUCUCUCUGAGCUGCACUAGUAAUCCCCUACACCUCAGAAACAUACACAACAAAUAGAGUAAAUGUGAAAACAAAUCUGCAUAAAUCCAUACGCAGGCUGCGUUCAGCAGGGUGAAACCUUGAAGACAUAGUUUGGCAUUUGUGAACUACACUUUAUUGCUGUCUUUGCCGAAGUGAGUAGGUUGAUAUCAGUCUCACUUUGGAGCGUUAAGUUUGGAGCUAGAGUCUGGGAGCGGUUAUCAUGGUUUUGCAUAACAGGAACAGGCACAGGAAAACUUCACACUCCAAAAUAUGCUUACUAGUUUGCGUGUCUCGUUUGUUCGUCCAUCCAUCAUCUACGACUCUUAUCCUUUGGGGUUUGCAGUGGGCGCUGGACCCGAUCCCACCUGACACUGGGCGAGAUGUGGGGCUCCACCCUGAACAGUUUGCCAGUGAUCCACAGGGCUAAACUAUAAUUCACAACUACAUUUACACAUAUGGACAAUUUAGAGUCUCAUAUUAACCUAACCCCAACUCUGCGUAUCUUUAGACGGUGGGAGAAACAUUUAUGGGGGUUUGAUUGGUGUUCCUCGAAUUCCAUUGUUUUGCUGCGCCCUCUUCUUCUGUGGUAGUUUAAUGGCACUGAACUUAAAAUGAGCACCAAAACAUUUUUAUCUUGACGAGCCAACUUCCAUUUGUUCAAUAGUGGUGGAUGCUAGUCAGCUUUUACUGUCGCUAAUCAAAAUUAGCUCUGCAUUUGGAUUGCUGUAGUCGUUUCUAUAUUUGUCCCUGUGCAGAAUUUACACAUAUGAGAUAAAACAUCUUGAUUAGUAAACUCUACUUUUGACAGCCGUAUUUUAACAGAGAACCAAGUUUGCUGUUUUUCUUGGCUUUAAAUCUUUAUGCAAACCUCGGUUAACCCUCCUGACUUCAGCUCUUUACAGACGUAAAAGUGUUAUUGAUACUGUCAUCUAAAUCUAAGAAAGAAAUCAAAUCAUUCCUCCAAAAUGCCAAACUAUUCAUUAAACCAUGUUGGGAUGGAAAUGCAGACAGGUGCUCAAUGCAAACAAUCAGGAGAAAUGAUCAUGUGUGAAGUUGCCAGUAGGAGACCAGUCUUGUUUUGGUUGGUUAAACAUGUCGUCAUGUUACACUGCUGCUCUCAUAUCAGCUCUGGCUGCGCAUCUGUCUCUAGUGCAGAAGUGUUGCUCGCCCCGGCUGCUCAGACCGGCAGGUUCAGGUCGGAGUCCGACAUCGGGGCUGACCUGAACCUGCCCCGUCUCUCCGUAACUGCACAUCAACACCGACAACCUAUCAGUAACAUUGACGAGUGUACUAUGACCACAUAUUGGUAAUAUUCCUACAGUGUAAGUGAAAACUGACCAGUUGCUUUGUCUAAGAUCGUUUGAGAAUCAGUGUCCUAACGUCUACUUUAUUUUUGUCUUUUGGACCAAAUCUUCACUCUUCGAUCCGUCAGUGUUGUGGUGAGCUUAUCUCGAAAUUCUUGCUGAUUUCAUUUUAAACCAGUCGAAAGGAUCUAAGUCUUUCUACGCACAAGAGUGCAAGUAUGCGUCGAGUUAGAGAGUCAUUACUUUUCUACUGAUCCAUUACUGAAAACAUUCACCACAUUACACUGUGUUUUUAAUGACAGACGACAUAUCUCUCAGCUUGUAAACCACUAUUUUUUGGAGAAUUUCACAUAUGACGAAGCUCCGUAGGGACGUGUAGAGCUGAUAUAGAUAUAGAAACAGGAUGUCCAAAAGUGCCAAAAGAUAGAAAAGGUAAUGUGGUGGUGGUGUGGGAAUUUCUUUUUGUCCUCUACAACUGUGAUGAAGGGCAGCCAUCUUGUGCCAUUUUGCAGUACAUGUAUAAUUAUUAGAAUAUUAGAAUAUGCAUUAUAGCUGUAUGUGUUUUCUCAAACAAUACAAUACCCUUGGAGAAUCAUUUUCAUAUAUGAAAUGAAUUGUCUGAGAAGAUGAGUAUUUUAUUGUGAGUCAGGUUGUAUUUUCUUUUUUUGUAACUGUGAAAUGAUGCAAGGUAGUAAUGUGUCAAAUCUUGUUGUUUGAGCUCGUAUCAAAAAGGGAGGUGGUAGCAUGUGGAUAUCCAAGAUUACUGUUGUAUAAAGACGGUUCUGCCAGACGAAAGAAGUGAGCGCUUAUUUUGAUGAUGAUGAAUGAACGAUGGCAAAACGAGAGAUAACAGAAUAAAAAUAUUUACUGUGUUCUAUAUCGAAGGGAGAUUUGGAUCAAUUGUUCUGGAUGAGAGAGAUGCUUUUGUGGAUUGUGUAAUUGUCCUGUAUGACUGAAACUGAUAAUAUACUCACUGGUGCCUACCAGACUACA
RNA transcript from Paralichthys olivaceus (Japanese flounder), 4630 nucleotides. It is a transcript of the gene named protein kinase C beta type, with no coding region annotated. The record is from RefSeq and is a predicted model, not a curated record. Lineage: Eukaryota; Metazoa; Chordata; Actinopteri; Pleuronectiformes; Paralichthyidae.